GAUGAACGCUGGCUGCGUGCCUAAUACAUGCAAGUCGAGCGAACAGACGAGGAGCUUGCUCCUCUGACGUUAGCGGCGGACGGGUGAGUAACACGUGGAUAACCUACCUAUAAGACUGGGAUAACUUCGGGAAACCGGAGCUAAUACCGGAUAAUAUAUUUAACCGCAUGGUUCAAUAGUGAAAGACGGUUUUGCUGUCACUUAUAGAUGGAUCCGCGCCGCAUUAGCUAGUUGGUAAGGUAACGGCUUACCAAGGCAACGAUGCGUAGCCGACCUGAGAGGGUGAUCAGCCACACUGGAACUGAGACGCGGUCCAGACUCCUACGGGAGGCAGCAGUAGGGAAUCUUCCGCAAUGGGCGAAAGCUUGACGGAGCAACGCCGCGUGGGUGAUGAAGGUCUUCGGAUCGUAAAACUCUGUUAUUAGGGAAGAACAAAUGUGUAAGUAACUAUGCACGUCUUGACGGUACCUAAUCAGAAAGCCACGGCUAACUACGUG
Molecule: ribosomal RNA, 497 nt
Filed under: uncultured bacterium
Lineage: Bacteria
Description: partial 16S ribosomal RNA
Rfam family: Bacterial small subunit ribosomal RNA
Source: RNAcentral